Molecule: ribosomal RNA, 634 nt
Filed under: uncultured bacterium
Lineage: Bacteria
Description: bacterial SSU rRNA
Rfam family: Bacterial small subunit ribosomal RNA (bases 1-542)
Source: RNAcentral
CCUACGGGAGGCAGCAGUAGGGAAUCUUCCGCAAUGGACGAAAGUCUGACGGAGCAACGCCGCGUGAACGAUGAAGGCCUUCGGGUCGUAAAGUUCUGUUGUUAGGGAAGAGCAAGUGCUAGUUGAAUAAGCUGGCACCUUGACGGUACCUAACCAGAAAGCCACGGCUAACUACGUGCCAGCAGCCGCGGUAAUACGUAGGUGGCAAGCGUUGUCCGGAAUUAUUGGGCGUAAAGCGCGCGCAGGCGGUUUCUUAAGUCUGAUGUGAAAGCCCCCGGCUCAACCGGGGAGGGUCAUUGGAAACUGGGAAACUUGAGUGCAGAAGAGGAAAGUGGAAUUCCAAGUGUAGCGGUGAAAUGCGUAGAGAUUUGGAGGAACACCAGUGGCGAAGGCGACUUUCUGGUCUGUAACUGACGCUGAGGCGCGAAAGCGUGGGGAGCAAACAGGAUUAGAUACCCUGGUAGUCCACGCUGUAAACGAUGAGUGCUAAGUGUUAGAGGGUUUCCGCCUUUAGUGCUGAAGUUACGCAUUAAGCACNCGCGNGGAGUACGGUCGCGAGACGUAAGUAAACGUUAAAGUUAAAGUUAGUACGGUUCGUUGAGACGUUGCCGACGGACGACGACGAGGGAGGAGG